This is a transfer RNA of Camelus ferus (Wild Bactrian camel), 72 nucleotides long. It matches the Rfam family "tRNA". From Rfam's summary of the family: Transfer RNA (tRNA) molecules are approximately 80 nucleotides in length. Their secondary structure includes four short double-helical elements and three loops (D, anti-codon, and T loops). Further hydrogen bonds mediate the characteristic L-shaped molecular structure. tRNAs have two regions of fundamental functional importance: the anti-codon, which is responsible for specific mRNA codon recognition, and the 3' end, to which the tRNAs corresponding amino acid is attached (by aminoacyl-tRNA synthetases). tRNAs cope with the degeneracy of the genetic code in two manners: having more than one tRNA (with a specific anti-codon) for a particular amino acid; and 'wobble' base-pairing, i.e. permitting non-standard base-pairing at the 3rd anti-codon position. The record is from Rfam. Lineage: Eukaryota; Metazoa; Chordata; Mammalia; Artiodactyla; Camelidae.
GAAGAUAUAGCUCAAUGGUAGAACAUAUGCUUAGCAUCCAUGAGGUCCUGGGUUCAAUCCCCAGUAUCUCUA